UACGUAGGGGGCUAGCGUUGUCCGGAAUCAUUGGGCGUAAAGGGCGCGUAGGCGGCCUGCUAAGUCGGAUGUGAAAUCCCUCGGCUCAACCGAGGAACUGCAUCCGAUACUGGCGGGCUUGAAUCCGGGAGAGGGAUGUGGAAUUCCAGGUGUAGCGGUGAAAUGCGUAGAUAUCUGGAGGAACACCAAUUGCGAAGGCAGCUCGCUGGGACGUUACUGACGCUGAGACGCGAAAGCGUGGGGAGCAAACAGG
This 253-nucleotide ribosomal RNA is filed under the name uncultured bacterium. RNAcentral describes it as "partial 16S ribosomal RNA". It matches the Rfam family "Bacterial small subunit ribosomal RNA", at positions 524 to 776 of the family's 1533-position model. The record is from RNAcentral.